Molecule: ribosomal RNA, 327 nt
Filed under: uncultured eukaryote
Lineage: Eukaryota
Description: partial 18S ribosomal RNA
Rfam family: Eukaryotic small subunit ribosomal RNA
Source: RNAcentral
CCCUUAGAUGUUCUGGGCCGCACACGCGCUACACUGAAGGAGGCAGCGUGUACUCCUGGAUCGAAAGAUUUGGGUAACCCGCGAAUCUCCUUCGUGCUAGGGAUUGAGGUUUGCAAUUAUACUUCAUGAACGAGGAAUUCCCAGUAAGUGCAAGUCAUAAGCUUGCGCUGACUACGUCCCUGCCCUUUGUACACACCGCCCGUCGCUACUACCGAUUGAAUGAUUUAGUGAGGACUUCGGACUGGGACCGAUGCGGCUUUCGGGCUGCGUCGGUAUUCUGGAAAGAUGUCCAAACUGUAUCAUUUAGAGGAAGUAAAAGUCGUAACA